Molecule: ribosomal RNA, 397 nt
Filed under: uncultured bacterium
Lineage: Bacteria
Description: bacterial SSU rRNA
Rfam family: Bacterial small subunit ribosomal RNA
Source: RNAcentral
UUUUGCUCAAUGGGGGAAACCCUGAAGCAGCAACGCCGCGUGAGGGAUGAAGGCCUUCGGGUUGUAAACCUCUUUUUUCAGGGACGAUGAUGACGGUACCUGGAGAAUAAGUCACGGCUAACUACGUGCCAGCAGCCGCGGUAAUACGUAGGUGACCAGCGUUGUCCGGAUUUACUGGGCGUAAAGAGCGCGCAGGCGGUCCUUCAAGUCGAGUGUGAAAGCCCCCGGCUCAACUGGGGAGGGUCAUUCGAUACUGAUGGACUCGAAGGCAGGAGAGGGAAGCGGAAUUCCCGGUGUAGUGGUGAAAUGCGUAGAUAUCGGGAGGAACACCAGUGGCGAAGGCGGCUUCCUGGCCUGUUCUUGACGCUGAGGCGCGAAAGCUAGGGGAGCAAACGGG